Monascus purpureus is the source of this 78-nucleotide non-coding RNA. The record is from the annotation of a GenBank genome assembly. NCBI's taxonomy places the organism in Eukaryota, Fungi, Ascomycota, Eurotiomycetes, Eurotiales, Aspergillaceae.
GGAGUGAUAGCUCAGUGGUAGAGCGAGGGACUGCAGUGUGCCAUCUCUAGGUCGGGGGUUCGACUCCCUCUCGCUCCU